Molecule: ribosomal RNA, 239 nt
Filed under: uncultured bacterium
Lineage: Bacteria
Description: partial 16S ribosomal RNA
Rfam family: Bacterial small subunit ribosomal RNA
Source: RNAcentral
GACAGAGGGUGCAAACGUUGUUCGGAUUUACUGGGCGUAAAGCGUGUGUAGGCGGCUUUGUAUGUCGGAUGUGAAAGCCCACGGGCUCAACCGUGGAAGUGCAUCCGAAACUGCAUAGCUUGAGUCCCGGAGAGGAAGGUGGAAUGCUUGGUGUAGAGGUGAAAUUCGUAGAUAUCAAGCAGAACACCUGCGGCGAAGGCGGACCUUCUGGCGGUGACGUGACGCUGAGACACGAAAGC